Molecule: ribosomal RNA, 775 nt
Filed under: uncultured Neocallimastigales
Lineage: Eukaryota; Fungi; Neocallimastigomycota; Neocallimastigomycetes; Neocallimastigales
Description: partial large subunit ribosomal RNA
Rfam family: Eukaryotic large subunit ribosomal RNA
Source: RNAcentral
UAUCUCUGUAGAGUCUGCAUAUCAAUAAGCGGAGGAAAAGAAACUAACAAGGAUUCCCUUAGUAACGGCGAGUGAAGCGGGAAGAGCUCAAAUUUGAAAUCUUCAAGGUUCUACCUUGACGAAUUGUAGUUUAAAGAAGUGUUUUCUGUUAGAUGAGUAGCAAAAGUUCCUUGGAAUGGGACAUCAUAGAGGGUGAGAAUCCCGUAUUUGGUUAUUCAUUCUAGCUUUGUGAUACACUUUCAAAGAGUCGGAUUGUUUGGGAAUGCAGUCCAAAAUGGGUGGUAAAUUUCAUCUAAAGCUAAAUAUUGGCGAGAGACCGAUAGCGAACAAGUACCGUGAGGGAAAGAUGAAAAGAACUUUGAAAAGAGAGUUAAACAGUACGUGAAAUUGUCAAAAGGGAAGCGUUUGACACCAGUGUUGUUUUUCCGAAAAUCAAUUACUGAAUGGCUUGAUUUUGUGUUGUAUUGACCUUAUCAGCUUUCUUCACUUUUUUCGAGUCUUUCUUAAUGCACUUUUCGGUUAACAAGUCAACAUCAAUUUCUUUUGUUGUAAAAGAGUAUUCGGAAGGUGGCUUUCUUUUCGGAGAAAGUGUUUAUAGCCCUAUACUUCUACAAUCGGAGAGAUUGAGGUCUGCAGCGUAGAUCCUUCGGGGUUAGAUACACUUGUGCUAAGUUGUAGCUUUUCAUAGACAACUUGUUGACUAUGUUUAGUCAUGCGGCUUACUCGCUUGUGCUAUUUUACCUACGCUUAGGAUGUUGACUGAUAUGUAGUCGUA